AAAGUCGGCAGGCUACACAUGCAGUCGAGGGGUACAUAGAAAAGCUUGCUUUUCUGAUGACGACCGGCGCACGGGUGCGUAACGCGUAUACAACCUACCUUUUAGCGGGGAAUAGCCCAGGGAAACUUGGAUUAAUGCCCCAUAGUAUAUAAACUUCUCCUGAAAUUUAUAUUAAACAUUUAUGGCUAUUAGAUGGGUAUGCGUCCUAUUAGUUAGUUGGUAAGGUAACGGCUUACCAAGGCAGCGAUAGGUAGGGGUCCUGAGAGGGAGAUCCCCCACACUGGUACUGAGACACGGACCAGACUCCUACGGGAGGCAGCAGUGAGGAAUAUUGGACAAUGGGCGAGAGCCUGAUCCAGCCAUGCCGCGUGCAGGAAGACUGCCCUAUGGGUUGUAAACUGCUUUUACAGAGGAAGAACCACCCCCACGUGUGGGGGUUUGACGGUACUCUGCGAAUAAGGAUCGGCUAACUCCGUGCCAGCAGCCGCGGUAAUACGGAGGAUCCAAGCGUUAUCCGGAAUCAUUGGGUUUAAAGGGUCCGUAGGCGGGCAGUUAAGUCAGUGGUGAAAGUCUUCCGCUCAACGGGAGAACUGCCAUUGAUACUGAUUGUCUUGAGUUAUUAUGAAGUGGUUAGAAUGAGUAGUGUAGCGGUGAAAUGCAUAGAUAUUACUCAGAAUACCGAUUGCGAAGGCAGAUCACUAAUAAUAUACUGACGCUGAUGGACGAAAGCGUAGGUAGCGAACAGGAUUAGAUACCCUGGUAGUCUACGCCGUAAACGAUGGUUACUAGCUGUUCGGCCCAAUUGAGGGCUGAGUGGUUAAGCGAAAGUGAUAAGUAACCCACCUGGGGAGUACGUUCGCAAGAAUGAAACUCAAAGGAAUUGACGGGGGCCCGCACAAGCGGUGGAGCAUGUGGUUUAAUUCGAUGAUACGCGAGGAACCUUACCAGGGCUUAAAUGUAGUCUGACAGGUCUGGAAACAGACUUUUCUUCGGACAGAUUACAAGGUGCUGCAUGGUUGUCGUCAGCUCGUGCCGUGAGGUGUCAGGUUAAGUCCUAUAACGAGCGCAACCCCUGUGGUUAGUUGCCAGCGAGUAAUGUCGGGAACUCUAGCCAGACUGCCGGUGCAAACCGCGAGGAAGGUGGGGAUGACGUCAAAUCAUCACGGCCCUUACGUCCUGGGCCACACACGUGCUACAAUGGUAGGGACAGAGAGCAGCCACUUCGCGAGAAGGAGCGAAUCUACAAACCCUAUCACAGUUCGGAUCGCAGUCUGCAACUCGACUGCGUGAAGCUGGAAUCGCUAGUAAUCGCAUAUCAGCCAUGAUGCGGUGAAUACGUUCCCGGGCCUUGUACACACCGCCCGUCAAGCCAUGGAAGCCGGGGGUACCUGAAGUCGGUCACCGCAAGGAGCCGCCUAGGGUAAAAACUGAAAGG
This 1435-nucleotide ribosomal RNA is filed under the name Salegentibacter mishustinae. RNAcentral's name for it is "bacterial SSU rRNA". It matches the Rfam family "Bacterial small subunit ribosomal RNA". Lineage: Bacteria; Pseudomonadati; Bacteroidota; Flavobacteriia; Flavobacteriales; Flavobacteriaceae. The record is from RNAcentral.